This 253-nucleotide ribosomal RNA is filed under the name uncultured bacterium. RNAcentral describes it as "partial 16S ribosomal RNA". It matches the Rfam family "Bacterial small subunit ribosomal RNA", at positions 524 to 776 of the family's 1533-position model. The record is from RNAcentral.
UACGUAGGGGGCGAGCGUUAUCCGGAAUUACUGGGCGUAAAGCGCACGCAGGCGGUUCGCCCAGUUUGGCGUGACAGUUGUCGGCUCAACCGACAAAGGACUUCAAAAACUGGUGAACUUGAGGACGAGAGAGGAACAUGGAACUCCAGGUGUAGUAGUGAAAUGCGUAGAUAUCUGGAAGAACACCAAUGGCGAAGGCAAUGUUCUGGCUCGUUUCUGACGCUCAGGUGCGAAAGCCAGGGGAGCGAACGGG